This is a long non-coding RNA of Arabidopsis thaliana (thale cress), 308 nucleotides long. RefSeq annotates it as other RNA. The record is from RefSeq. The transcript has a single exon. Lineage: Eukaryota; Viridiplantae; Streptophyta; Magnoliopsida; Brassicales; Brassicaceae.
AAAACAAACUGGAGGCUAAUUGGAUUGUUCUUUAACCAAUUGGGGAAGUAGAGGUGUAAGUGUUUAACAAUGGUGCCUCUCAAACAUUUGAAGAAGGAAAAUCCAAUCAUCGACGCAUGUUUUAGGAUCUACACUACAUCGUUAUAAACAUACUCUCUCCACUUGAGGCAAAGGGACGGAUUCAUUGCUUCAAGGUGGAUUCCGUGAGGGUUAGUUUACAGAACUUGUAAGAUGAACUUCGUGUUCUAGUAAAACACAAGUAUGUCCCUGUUAGGCAUUUCUUUAUCCAUGUCUUGUGUGGGGAAAAA